UACUAUAUGAGUGAACUAUCACCCUCUGAAUAUGAUAGGAAAGAAAGCAUGAGCCAAAAUGAGCAACUAUCCUGGUCUGGUCCAUAUUAAAGAUACAGUUGUUCUAGCUGUGAAGACAAUAAAAGGAAACUACCUCAUCCAUAUGUUAGGGAAUGAUUUCCUUGUUGGAUGAUCUGGGCAUGCUCCAAAAGUUCCUCAUGUUAGUUUAAGAGGCCUGCCCAUGCCAGCUCAGUUACACUUGUAUGUAACUAUUUUGUUGUAUUUAUUCAUUUUACAUUUCUUUUUAAUAUAAAUGUUUAUAUUUUUAUUAUAUAAUCUCCUUAAGGGUAGUGAUUUUUCUUUCUUUUGAUGUGUAUCUCCAGUAUCUAACACAAUGCCUAGCUAUUCAAUGUUUAAUAAAUGCUUGUUGCUUGGUUUUUCCUACUAAACAGAUCAGGACUUUAUUUCUCGUAUUCUCCUCCAGGUUUAUUGUAUGCUGAGAAGGAAAGAUCCAAGAUAGCAGAAUGGUAGGAAGCAGUGCAAAGAAUUCUCCUCCACAACUUCCUCCAAACAGAUCUAGAAAAUGCACCAGUUUGAAUUCUGACAUUCUGAAUUCAGAAAAAGUCAUGUACUAUCAGCAUUCUGAAAGUAUGAACAUAAAGAAUUGCUCAAAAGCAACAAAAGCUUCUCUCCAGCCAUGAUGAAGGAAAAAUAGUAGCUACUCUUCUAAGAUACAGUUGCUUCUCUCAAACUUUCAGUAUAAACCAUUCACAAUUAAAACGUAUAUUUCCACAAUGUUCCAUUUUACUCUUGAAACUACAGUGACAAUAAUCACACUCUUUGUAAGAUAAACUUUUCAAAGUUUUUUUUAAGUUAUCUGAUUUAUAAAUGCCAUUGGGGAAAAUUGUUAAAAUGUUCAUGUAGCACUUGUAUUACACAUAUUAAGUAUUAAGCAUGUCUAUUCUAUACAUAACAAAUAUUUGCUAUUUGAAGGUCUUAUAUGGAAGAAGGUUGACAAUCAUUUGUGGAUGAUAUAAUUGUUUCAACUUUUUAAACAUUUAAAAUAAUCAAAGUAUAUUACUUUUAAAGGUAUUUCUGUUUGGGAGUAUUAGGUGUUCUAUUUAUAUAAGAUUAAAGUCAAGAAAACAACUGAAGUAUAAUAUCCUUUUGGAGGCUUGUUGAAGUGCUAAAGAAGGUAAAGAAAAUGUAAAAGUUAACAUGGAGGAUUAAACCUCACUUGACUUGAAAUCUUCAAAGGCAAAUAAUUAAAGGUGAAAUUUUUUUUAAUCCAAUCCCCCCAAAAGAAUUCUAGAUCUGUCAAACUCCAAUACAUUUCACAUAUAUCAAUAAAUCAUUUAUGAAAGCUUUGGAUAAAUAA
Molecule: long non-coding RNA, 1357 nt
Organism: Antechinus flavipes (yellow-footed antechinus)
Lineage: Eukaryota; Metazoa; Chordata; Mammalia; Dasyuromorphia; Dasyuridae
Exons: 3
Source: RefSeq, a predicted model, not a curated record